GGUCCUACUUCGACCUGAUUGUGGUGGACACACAGAAGCCCUGCUUCUUUGCUGAGGGGAUGGUGCUGAGACAGGUCAACAGGGUAAUGGCAGGGGCUGAGGCCCCAUCUACCUUGACCCAUGGGCCACAAGGUGGGGAGGGACCCUGCUCCUCACGCUUGACCUGCCCUUGGGAGUUGCCUCUCUGCUACUCUGUCCCUGGAGGCCGGGAACCAGGGGACUCCUUUGGGACUCUCUGUCACCUCCUUCCUCUCAUGCCCCCAUAGUAAUCCUGGCCACUCCCAGUGCUCUGCUCUCUCUGACCAGGGUGCCCCUCUCCUCUUCUAGGAUUCAGGCAAGCUCCACGUGGGCACCUACAUGGGGCCCCACCAGCACUGUGUAGUUUACUCUGGAGGUACCAGCUCCCGCCUUGUCCCUGUGCCUCCACAGACACCCUCCCUAGACUAGGAACCCAUGUCCCCAACCUGCCCACCAGGACAGGAGGGGCUCUGAGCAAGCCUGUCCGCCCAUGGUGGGGCAGGCUCUUCGGACAUGGUGUGUGAGCUGCUCGGGGUACGGGGGAAGGAUAUCCUGUACAUUGGGGAUCACAUCUUUGGAGACAUCCUCAAGUCCAAGAAGUGGCAGGACUGGCGAACUUGCCUGGUGGUUCCUGAGCUGUUCCGGGAGCUUGGCAUCUGGAACCAAGAGAAGGGUGUGCACACCCAGCCCAGCAACUCCACCGGGUGCCUGUGGAGUGUCCUCUGACCUCCAUGGGGUCUAGCGAGGUUGUGCCUGGAGCUUGGAGGCACCGUUCCUUUUCUCCUGGGUCAUGUGGCUGUUUUUGCACCAGGCACAUGGAUGGGAGCAGUUAUGGGCUGCAAGUUAUCAACUCCACGAAGAGGGAGAUUCAGCUGAUGGCGCUAUGCAGACCUCUACACCAGCUGCCUGCCUCAACUUCCUGAACCACCCGCUCAGCUUGCUGUAUCUGGCGGUCCUGGAGCUGGUGGGUCCCUGCAGAGCCUCUCUGGCUAUCCCUGACCCUCUGCCCCAGGAGGAGCCGCUGGUCCCCAGCCCUGCCAAGAGCUUCUGA
Molecule: long non-coding RNA, 1069 nt
Filed under: Lynx canadensis (Canada lynx)
Lineage: Eukaryota; Metazoa; Chordata; Mammalia; Carnivora; Felidae
Description: lncRNA (ENSLCNG00005015165.1)
Source: RNAcentral